RNAcentral lists this ribosomal RNA (506 nucleotides) under uncultured bacterium. Its description in RNAcentral is "partial 16S ribosomal RNA". It matches the Rfam family "Bacterial small subunit ribosomal RNA", at positions 28 to 523 of the family's 1533-position model. The record is from RNAcentral.
GAUGAACGCUAGCUACAGGCUUAACACAUGCAAGUCGAGGGGUAACGAGAGGAAAGCUUGCUUUCCUUGUCGACGACCGGCGCACGGGUGAGUAACGCGUAUCCAACCUGCCCCCAACUAGGGAAUAACCUUGCGAAAGUAAGACUAAUACCCUAUAAUUUCCUCAGAUGUCAUCUGACGAGGAAUAAAGAUUUAUCGGUUGUGGAUGGGGAUGCGUCUGAUUAGCUUGUUGGCGGGGUAACGGCCCACCAAGGCAACGAUCAGUAGGGGUUCUGAGAGGAAGGUCCCCCACAUUGGAACCGAGACACGGUCCAAACUCCUACGGGAGGCAGCAGUGAGGAAUAUUGGUCAAUGGGCGGAAGCUUGAACCAGCCAAGUAGCGUGCAGGAUGACGGCCCUAUGGGUUGUAAACUGCUUUUAUACAGGAAUAAAGUUAGCCACGUGUGGUUAUUUGUAGGUACUGUAUGAAUAAGGACCGGCUAAUUCCGUGCCAGCCGCCGCGGUAA